Molecule: ribosomal RNA, 468 nt
Filed under: uncultured bacterium
Lineage: Bacteria
Description: partial 16S ribosomal RNA
Rfam family: Bacterial small subunit ribosomal RNA
Source: RNAcentral
GACGAACGCUGGCGGCGUGCUUAACACAUGCAAGUCGAACGGAAAGGCCCUGCUUUUGUGGGGUGCUCGAGUGGCGAACGGGUGAGUAACACGUGAGUAACCUGCCCUUGACUUUGGGAUAACUUCAGGAAACUGGGGCUAAUACCGGAUAGGAGCUCCUGCUGCAUGGUGGGGGUUGGAAAGUUUCGGCGGUUGGGGAUGGACUCGCGGCUUAUCAGCUUGUUGGUGGGGUAGUGGCUUACCAAGGCUUUGACGGGUAGCCGGCCUGAGAGGGUGACCGGCCACGUUGGGACUGAAAUACGGCACAGACUCCAACGGGAGGCGGCAGUGGAGAAUAUUGCACAAUGGGCGGAAGCCUGAUGCAGCAACGCCGCGUGCGGGAUGACGGCAUUCGGGUUGUAAUCCGCAUUCGCCUGUGACGAAGCGUGAGUGACGGUAAUGGGUAAAGAAGCACCGGCUAACUACGUG